Molecule: ribosomal RNA, 2933 nt
Filed under: Escherichia coli
Lineage: Bacteria; Pseudomonadati; Pseudomonadota; Gammaproteobacteria; Enterobacterales; Enterobacteriaceae
Description: 23S ribosomal RNA
Rfam family: Bacterial large subunit ribosomal RNA
Source: RNAcentral
GGGUUGUGAGGUUAAGCGACUAAGCGUACACGGUGGAUGCCCUGGCAGUCAGAGGCGAUGAAGGACGUGCUAAUCUGCGAUAAGCGUCGGUAAGGUGAUAUGAACCGUUAUAACCGGCGAUUUCCGAAUGGGGAAACCCAGUGUGUUUCGACACACUAUCAUUAACUGAAUCCAUAGGUUAAUGAGGCGAACCGGGGGAACUGAAACAUCUAAGUACCCCGAGGAAAAGAAAUCAACCGAGAUUCCCCCAGUAGCGGCGAGCGAACGGGGAGCAGCCCAGAGCCUGAAUCAGUGUGUGUGUUAGUGGAAGCGUCUGGAAAGGCGCGCGAUACAGGGUGACAGCCCCGUACACAAAAAUGCACAUGCUGUGAGCUCGAUGAGUAGGGCGGGACACGUGGUAUCCUGUCUGAAUAUGGGGGGACCAUCCUCCAAGGCUAAAUACUCCUGACUGACCGAUAGUGAACCAGUACCGUGAGGGAAAGGCGAAAAGAACCCCGGCGAGGGGAGUGAAAAAGAACCUGAAACCGUGUACGUACAAGCAGUGGGAGCACGCUUAGGCGUGUGACUGCGUACCUUUUGUAUAAUGGGUCAGCGACUUAUAUUCUGUAGCAAGGUUAACCGAAUAGGGGAGCCGAAGGGAAACCGAGUCUUAACUGGGCGUUAAGUUGCAGGGUAUAGACCCGAAACCCGGUGAUCUAGCCAUGGGCAGGUUGAAGGUUGGGUAACACUAACUGGAGGACCGAACCGACUAAUGUUGAAAAAUUAGCGGAUGACUUGUGGCUGGGGGUGAAAGGCCAAUCAAACCGGGAGAUAGCUGGUUCUCCCCGAAAGCUAUUUAGGUAGCGCCUCGUGAAUUCAUCUCCGGGGGUAGAGCACUGUUUCGGCAAGGGGGUCAUCCCGACUUACCAACCCGAUGCAAACUGCGAAUACCGGAGAAUGUUAUCACGGGAGACACACGGCGGGUGCUAACGUCCGUCGUGAAGAGGGAAACAACCCAGACCGCCAGCUAAGGUCCCAAAGUCAUGGUUAAGUGGGAAACGAUGUGGGAAGGCCCAGACAGCCAGGAUGUUGGCUUAGAAGCAGCCAUCAUUUAAAGAAAGCGUAAUAGCUCACUGGUCGAGUCGGCCUGCGCGGAAGAUGUAACGGGGCUAAACCAUGCACCGAAGCUGCGGCAGCGACGCUUAUGCGUUGUUGGGUAGGGGAGCGUUCUGUAAGCCUGCGAAGGUGUGCUGUGAGGCAUGCUGGAGGUAUCAGAAGUGCGAAUGCUGACAUAAGUAACGAUAAAGCGGGUGAAAAGCCCGCUCGCCGGAAGACCAAGGGUUCCUGUCCAACGUUAAUCGGGGCAGGGUGAGUCGACCCCUAAGGCGAGGCCGAAAGGCGUAGUCGAUGGGAAACAGGUUAAUAUUCCUGUACUUGGUGUUACUGCGAAGGGGGGACGGAGAAGGCUAUGUUGGCCGGGCGACGGUUGUCCCGGUUUAAGCGUGUAGGCUGGUUUUCCAGGCAAAUCCGGAAAAUCAAGGCUGAGGCGUGAUGACGAGGCACUACGGUGCUGAAGCAACAAAUGCCCUGCUUCCAGGAAAAGCCUCUAAGCAUCAGGUAACAUCAAAUCGUACCCCAAACCGACACAGGUGGUCAGGUAGAGAAUACCAAGGCGCUUGAGAGAACUCGGGUGAAGGAACUAGGCAAAAUGGUGCCGUAACUUCGGGAGAAGGCACGCUGAUAUGUAGGUGAAGUCCCUUGCGGAUGGAGCUGAAAUCAGUCGAAGAUACCAGCUGGCUGCAACUGUUUAUUAAAAACACAGCACUGUGCAAACACGAAAGUGGACGUAUACGGUGUGACGCCUGCCCGGUGCCGGAAGGUUAAUUGAUGGGGUUAGCGGUAACGCGAAGCUCUUGAUCGAAGCCCCGGUAAACGGCGGCCGUAACUAUAACGGUCCUAAGGUAGCGAAAUUCCUUGUCGGGUAAGUUCCGACCUGCACGAAUGGCGUAAUGAUGGCCAGGCUGUCUCCACCCGAGACUCAGUGAAAUUGAACUCGCUGUGAAGAUGCAGUGUACCCGCGGCAAGACGGAAAGACCCCGUGAACCUUUACUAUAGCUUGACACUGAACAUUGAGCCUUGAUGUGUAGGAUAGGUGGGAGGCUUUGAAGUGUGGACGCCAGUCUGCAUGGAGCCGACCUUGAAAUACCACCCUUUAAUGUUUGAUGUUCUAACGUUGACCCGUAAUCCGGGUUGCGGACAGUGUCUGGUGGGUAGUUUGACUGGGGCGGUCUCCUCCUAAAGAGUAACGGAGGAGCACGAAGGUUGGCUAAUCCUGGUCGGACAUCAGGAGGUUAGUGCAAUGGCAUAAGCCAGCUUGACUGCGAGCGUGACGGCGCGAGCAGGUGCGAAAGCAGGUCAUAGUGAUCCGGUGGUUCUGAAUGGAAGGGCCAUCGCUCAACGGAUAAAAGGUACUCCGGGGAUAACAGGCUGAUACCGCCCAAGAGUUCAUAUCGACGGCGGUGUUUGGCACCUCGAUGUCGGCUCAUCACAUCCUGGGGCUGAAGUAGGUCCCAAGGGUAUGGCUGUUCGCCAUUUAAAGUGGUACGCGAGCUGGGUUUAGAACGUCGUGAGACAGUUCGGUCCCUAUCUGCCGUGGGCGCUGGAGAACUGAGGGGGGCUGCUCCUAGUACGAGAGGACCGGAGUGGACGCAUCACUGGUGUUCGGGUUGUCAUGCCAAUGGCACUGCCCGGUAGCUAAAUGCGGAAGAGAUAAGUGCUGAAAGCAUCUAAGCACGAAACUUGCCCCGAGAUGAGUUCUCCCUGACCCUUUAAGGGUCCUGAAGGAACGUUGAAGACGACGACGUUGAUAGGCCGGGUGUGUAAGCGCAGCGAUGCGUUGAGCUAACCGGUACUAAUGAACCGUGAGGCUUAACCUUACAACGCCGAAGGUGUUU